Long non-coding RNA from Aethina tumida (small hive beetle), 661 nucleotides. RefSeq lists it as uncharacterized. The record is from RefSeq and is a predicted model, not a curated record. The transcript is spliced from 3 exons. Lineage: Eukaryota; Metazoa; Arthropoda; Insecta; Coleoptera; Nitidulidae.
AAUGAUAAAACUUCAGGCUUACACCUUCAAUAGGACCAGUAGAAUCAAGAUAAUCGGAUGAGGAUGAAGUUUUAAACCGGUAAUAAAGAAUUACAGCCGAAAAGAACAAAUGGACAAAAAUAAUGGAGAGAUGGAGAAGGACAUUUGGCGGUACAACAAACAUUUGUUGGCAGGUUACACGGGUAUUCCAUCACUGCCUGUUUAGCCGGCGCGUAGCAUUUGCACGAGGUCCAGCCAACCAGGAUCACGGGCGCUUUAAUGCACCGCUACCCACAAGGUAAAGCCCGUUUUUCCACCCCCGAAGAAUUAAGUGUUGGACUCCGUACACAAUUUGUCGUGAGGAAAAAAACAAUAAACUCUAACGUUUAUCAAAUCCAUAGACGUGAAAACACGUUUUAAUAAUUAUGCACAGACGCCCACAACUUUUCAUUAAUCUAACCCCCAUCCGUAACGUUGUAGCAUGUGAGCAAAUAAAACCACAAUAUGUACGUACAACAAUCAAUCUAAAAUGCCGCAUAUAUUUGAAGUGCGAGCUUAAAAGGUAAACAUUCUACGAAAUUGAAAGCUUUAAUAGGAGUGCACGUCACAAUUAAACGCCCACGUGGGGAACGAUUUAAUCUCGUUUUUCGACUGAUAAGAAUCCAUUCUCUUCAGGAAUGUG